Molecule: long non-coding RNA, 7984 nt
Filed under: Manihot esculenta (cassava)
Lineage: Eukaryota; Viridiplantae; Streptophyta; Magnoliopsida; Malpighiales; Euphorbiaceae
Description: long non-coding RNA (MESC_LNC011334)
Source: RNAcentral
GAUUUCUAGAAAUGUCUAAUGCAAGCAUCUCAGAUAACAUCCCUGACUGGUUUGAAAAUAUUUCUUCCAAUAUUCUACGAUUGGAUUUAUCUUAUAAUCAGUUGUUUGGGACCUUACCAACUUUCAGAAAACUGAACACAACUUAUGCUAGUUAUUUAAGGUUCAUAUUGUUGAAAUCUAACCAGUUUGAUGGUUUUUUAACCUGUUCUCAUUUUGAUGCAACCAUAUUGGAUAUCUCCAACAACUUGCUCCACGGCCAGAUUCCCCAGAAUAUCAGUGAUACGAUGCCAAGUCUGGAACUCUUAUCCCUCUCCAACAACUACUUGAAUGGUACAGUUCCAGCUACUUUAUGCAGGAUUGAAUCUUUACAAAUUCUUGAUCUUUCGAAUAAUCAUCUAUCAGGAAGAAUACCUUCAUGUUGGGGAAAUUUGACAAGUUUAACUGUGAUUGAUUUUUCAAGUAAUAUGCUGAGUGGUGAGGUUCCAAUGUCCUUGGGUUCUCAAGAGUCGCUUGUUUCCCUGCAUUUGCAAAACAAUACUCUGCAAGGAAAGAUCCCAAUGUCAUUAAGGUAUCUAGAAUCCUUGGAGACUCUUGAUCUUAGCAUGAAAUCUUUUGAUGGUUUUAUUCCUUCAUGGAUAGGUGAGAGCCUAUCUUCUCUGAAAGUACUGAGUAUUCACUCUAAUAAAUUUGAAGGUGAGAUUCCUCUGCAGCUUUGCUACCUUGCUUCUCUUCGCAUAUUGAACUUGGCAAAUAACAUGAUGACUGGAACCAUACCUAAUUGUUUUAGCAAUUUUACUGCAAUUGCUAUGCAUGAGCAGAAAGGGCAUUGGGACUACUACCUUAAAGAUGUACCCCUUCUUUAUGAAACAGCUGGCUAUGGUGAGAAUGUGCAGGUUUAUGUCAAAGGAAUAGAGCUUGAAUAUACUAGAACACUUCGAUUUCUCUAUUCUAUUGACCUUUCAGGAAAUAAAUUUGUUGGAGAAAUUCCUCAGGAGUUGAUGAAUCUUUCAGGUCUACAGAACCUGAAUCUAUCUACAAACAAAUUGGAUGGACAUAUCCCUUGGAACAUUGGCAAGUUAAGCUCACUAGAAUCACUUGACUUGUCUGAAAAUGAACUUUCUGGCUCUAUUCCAUUCAGCAUUUCUGAUUUGAACUUUUUAAGUCACUUGAAUUUGUCAUUCAAUCACUCAUCAGGACGAAUUCCAAAGGGAAACCAACUUCAGACUUUGGAUGACAAAUCCAUCUACAUCGGCAACGAUGGACUUUGUGGACCUCCAUUGAAUAACUGUUCAGAUGAUGCAGAUGAAUUGCCUAAAGGUCAUGAAAAAGGUGGCACUACGAGGAAAGAUGACUCUGAAAUGGUUUGGUUCUACGGUGGUAUGGGAAUGGGAUUUGCGGCCGGAUUUAUUGGAGUUUGUAGCAUCUUGUACUUCAACGACUCAUGGAGGUGUGCUUGGUUUGGGUUAGUUGACAGAGUCUACAACAAGCUUUGGGUAACAAUUGUAAUUAAGGCAAAUCAAGUGAAGAGAAAGUUUCUCAGAAACAAAUUAGAAGGAAAUGCAUGAGAAGGUUAGUUCUUUCUAUUUAAUCACUCAUAAUUUAUGGAUGCUUUAUUACUGUUGUUAGAGAUGCAAAUUGACAGAAAUUUCAAUUACAUAAUCAUAAUGUUUUCUAUGUUAAUUGUUGAUGAUAGUGUUUAAUGUAGGAUUCAAUGUUGUUUGAGACUGCAGCAGAUGUUGAGCUAAAUUUAAAUAAAGCCCCACCUCCAUUCAAGGUUUGAAGUUUGGAAGGCUAGAAGAUUUUCUUUAAAGGGGAUGUGUUUUUGUGUGAUUGUUUCCAGGAUUUGAUAUCCUUGAGCUUUUUCUAAGACAUGAAAUGUAGUUGAUUGUGUAAUAAAGCUAUAUUUAAUUAGUAAAACAAUUUUAGUUAUUUAUGAAAUAUUACUUGCUAUAUAUUAAAAAUAAAUAAUUUUAUAAAAUUUAUUAAAAAUAUUUUAGAAGGUUAAUCGGUUAGAUUCGGUUUGAUUCAAUUUGAAGUUGAUCGUUAUCGGGAGCCGAGGACAGUUGCUCCACGAUCUGUUUCCCUUUGUCUAUGGAAGAAGGAGAAGCAGUUUCUGGAGACCCUGCCGUGCGCGCUUUCUUGACAGUCCGGCCCUCAGGGGAGGCCUCAAAAGUUUGGGCUCGCUUUCCAGCAGCUCCACUAAUUACAACGAUAGUAGCAACCUGGCGGAAUUGAGUCGCCAGAAGAGCGACCUCAGUUCCCCCCUUGGAGCCACUCUCAGUGGACUCAUUGAUGGUGAUGGGCUCUCGAGAGGCUGGAUUAGAAGCGGACUUGGGCUUCGAAGCUGCUGGAGACUUGGAGGAGGCCGGAGCCUUACCUUGAGUAGAGGCCCUGGAGGCCGCAGACCGAGAGCCUUUAGCCACGGGCACCAACGCCCGAGAAGAAGCGAGGGCAGCAGUCCGACCUGUCACAGUAGGAGUGACAGCAUGAAAAACUUCGCGGGUCACAUUUGCAACUGACUGGCCUGCCUUGAAGGCCUCCAAAGUGGCCUUCAUGCUCUCCCUGGACAUGGUGAAAUUUUCGGGAGGCCUGGUCUUGUCCAUUGGCACGGAGGAAGCUGAAAAAAUAAAAACAACCUAAGUCAAGGCCAAACACAAUGAAAGGAAAAAAUGCUAAUGGAAAGGAAAAAGAAAAAGAAAAAGAAAAAGACAAGAAAAUAAUCAUUAAUGAGUACCAGCUUCCUGGCAGUCUCGAAGACUAGACACGAACACCAACAUACACUUCUCAACAUCAUACUUCCUUUGUAUAGAGGUCAGUCAAAGAAGGUAGAUCUGGUCUACCAGGAGCAGCUGAGGAAGGUCGUUACAGCCCUGGAAAACCUCCCUUCAAGAGAGAUCAAUAUCCCAAUCGAUCCUAGAGCCCUCCUUUACCUCUACCACCGCAAAGGCUUCAGCCCAGCAUUUUAUUGAGUCUUUAUACCCUGCAAAGAUGGAUAACCCUCCCUAGGGAGCAAAGUAGUAAAACCCGUGAUUUACUUGAACUAAACAGAAAAAGGUAGAAAACAAAGUGACAGAAGGGGCAAAACCCCAACACAGACUUAUGGACUCGAAGGAACACAUGAAGAUGAUAGAAUUCAGACAUAACAUGCAAGGGGUCACUACGAAGUGAUGAAAGACCUCGAUAAAAAAAGGAAGAGAAAGGGAAGGUUAAUUCGAAGUCGCGUUGCUUGACAUAGAAGAUCAAGCUGCGACCUUGUUGGGAGUCUAUUAAACCCACCGGUGGAGGAACAGGAAGAAUAAUCCUCUCAUUGCGAAGAGGAGCCCUAAUCCUAUAGAUGGAGGUGUCUAUGCAGUCGGCAGAGAAAAAAAUGGAAAGAGUGGAAGGGGUGACCGUGGACCUCAUACCUAUAAUAUCAGGGAUUCUAACGGUGGCUAUCAGGAAAAUGGACACGUACCUCGGAAAAAUUUUGCAGAGAAAGGGAAAGACGAAUUCAAGGAAGCAGAGCAAGAAGAAGAGUCUAGAGCGAAACUGAAGGCAAAAAUUUGAAAUGGGUAAAGGCAAGAAAGAGACGUUUUGAUGGGAGUCUCCCUAGGGCCCCGCGGUCAUAAUUAAGACCUAGGUAUUUAACCCCUCAUUAAUCAUGGAAUAACUAACGAGGAGGUAAAGGGGCACUUGAUGACUGCUGGACCACUGGCAUCCAGGCUGAUGUCGAGACCUGGUAGAAGAGUUAGGCCCAAAACCCAACAGAGUCCAGUACGUAAGCUAAUCCAUCAGUACACCACCCAGCCCGCGGUUGAAGUAGGCGGGACUGACCGAGGGCCCUGACUCAUUAGAGAGGAACCCAGUUCAUUUGACGUGACGGGGAGUAAGAGAGCAGGCUCAGCUAUGCCAUGACCCUAUUAGCACGAGCGCCGGAGGGGAAUUAAAUGCUGUCUGACGAUGGUGGGCAGACAUGUAUGCCUGUACGUACGGCUCUGUGUGGCAACGACAGGUGGCACUGUAGCAGGGUGGUGGUUAUGCGUCACUAGAGGAUAAGAAGAAAAAAAGAAUAAAAGAGGGGAGUAUGACCCAUUCAAAUUAAACUUACUCAUACACACAGAAACCCUACCUCUUUCUAAAUCUCAGAUCAUUUAAAGGUAUUCGUUGAAUUUCAAUCUUAUAUACUCAAGUUUAUUUAUUAAUCCACAAUAGAUCAAUUUAAUUAAGUAAUUGAAAUUUUGUGCCUUGAAAACUAGAGAAGAAACUUUAACUAAUUUGACCAAAGCUAUAAUUUUUAUUUAAUUUUUAAAAGAGAUCUCGAUUAUUCUUGUUUAUUUGUUUUAAUUUUAUGUGAUUGAGUUACAUAUUCAAGGUUGGAGUUCUCCUGCAAUUAGUAGAGUAUAAUGUAAUUAGAUGCAACCCCACAUACUCAACAAUAGUGUACAUUUUAUACUGUUGUUGUCCAAAAUGAUCGGACAAACUUUUGCAUUGGAGUUUUAGAAAUCUUUUAAAAUUUACUCGUUCUUCAUUCACUAGAGGCUAUUACUUUAAGAGAGACCCUUUCCUGAUUUAAACAACUUAACGCUCAGGCCUUAUGGGGGAAGGAACCUAUAUAGGUGGAUCAAAGGUAUCCCACAUCGAAAAGAGGUUAGUAGAGGAAGGGCCUUACAAGGCAUUGCCCCGGACACCCCAGUGGACGCGUUUUGGGAAGACAGGAUAUCAAAUCCCUUGACCCAGGAACAAACUCGCGAGGGAAGACAGGGUUUCAAUCCCUUGACCUAAAGCGGACAAUAUUCACUGGUGUGGGUCCAGAUGGCGUUACAAUUGGUAUCAGAGCCUGGGCCUCAUGAGUACGGUGUGCUGAGUGAGGGCGCUCAGCCCUUAUGGGGGAAGGAACCCUAUAUAGGUGGAUCAAAGGUAUCCCACAUCAGAAAGAGGUUAGUAGGGAAAGGGCCUUAUAAGGCAUUGCCCCGGACAACUCAGUGGACGCGUUUUGGGAAGACAGAGUAUCAAAUCUCUUGACUCAAAGCGGACAAUAUUCACUAGUGUGGACUCAGAGGACGUUACAUCUUUUUUAUUAGGUAUCCAUUAGACUUUACUUUGGAUUCGAUAACAAGUUAAUGUGGUUGCUACUAUGCUAUCUAGAGUAGUUAUAUAUUAUGCUAGUUACACCAAGUGAUUUGUUCUUUCUAGUGAUGUUUCAUCUCUUGUAACUUCUGAGCGUAUUUAUAUGUUGUUUAUUAGUCGAAAAUAAUAUUUUCGGUUAUUGUUUUAUUUGAUUUUUUGAAUUUAAAAAUUUUAUAAAUUAAUUAAAAAUCUAAAAAAAAUCACAAAUGAAAGAAAAAAAAGUUAAAUACUGAUGAUAUCGUCUCAAAAAAAUUGACAGCAAUUAAAUUAAUAAUCUAUGCUUCAAUUGGAAAUUUGGUACCAAAGGCACUGGAUGACUCAAAAUUCCAAGUCUAAGGAGAUGAGUCUUUCAAAGUCAAUAAUCUGUGGUGGGCAAGAAAUUAAUUUAACCCAUGCUACACUAAGUCUUGUGACGGAGGAGGAGACUUGCAUAUUUGAAUGCAAUAAUAAAACAUUUUAAAUUUCUUCAAUAGAUUAUAUAUUUUUAUUAAUUUUAAACAUAAUUAAAAAAUAUAACAAAUUCAUAAAUCAUAAUCAAUAAUCUGUCUUACUAAUUUGAGAAAGGGAACUAUUUGAUUUAGUAAUUUUUUUUAAAAAAAAGGGAAGGGUGGUACUUAUUUCCUCUUUAUUUUCUUUUACAGUUGAAAUUAAUUAAAAGGGUGAUUAAUUUACUCUUUUCAUUCAUCCAGCUGAAUUUCCAACAAGGCAAUUCAAGUGAAUUUUUUUCUAUGGACAUUCACAGUACAGAAAUUGCUAGGAAAGUUUACGACCAUGGUGACAAUUUGAUUUGAUAGCAUGUUACUAUAAUUAAUAUAAAAUUGAAAGAUUAAUUGAGUAUAUAAUUUAUAAAAAAAUUAAGACAAUUCAUAUAACUUUAAAUUUUAUUUGAAGAUUAUUUUUUGGUUUAAACAUGAAAUCUAAUUAAACAGAUCAAAUCCAACCUCAAAAAAAUUAUUGAAGGUUCCCCAUAUGUAAUUAAAGAAGGGAGUUUAUUUAUUUAUUUAUUUUAUUUUAAAAUAUUAUUAAUUCUGCCAUUUCUAGAGAUAUUUAUUCGUCCUUGUUUGGUAGGGUCAAUGUCAUAGGACAAGAUAUUAGAGUUUGAAAUCCUGGCACCCAUCCCAUUCCAGUGAAAGUUGAACUAAUUAAUGCUUUAAUUGGAAUUUUUGUACCAAAGGCAUGAAUUUCUAAGUCUACAGAGAUCUAUAAGAUGAAAAUUAUAUAUUUUAUAUUAUAAAAAAUGGUAAUUACCCUUAUAAAAAGAUCAUUUUAUAAAAAAAAUUAAUAUUAAAUUAAUGAAAACUAAUUUCUAAAUAUAUGAAUAUAUUUUUUAUAAAUUGAUGUAAUAAAAACUAUAUUGAACAUUAAUUAAUAAUAUCAUUAUUGAAAACUAGAGUGUUUGUUUUUGAAUUGAGAAGUUAUGGGAACAUCAACUGCAAGUAUUGUUGAGAUUCUUGCCUUGCUCAUUCUACUUCAAAGCGUUUCCUCCUUCUGCAAUGGAGAUAAUUUCAAUGGAAGCUGUAUCAAGACUGAAAGAGAAGCUCUUGUGAAGUUCAAGUCAAGCCUCGUCGACAAUUCAAACUCGUUGCCUUCAUGGGUGGGAGAUGACUGCUGCAGAUGGCACGGAGUCAAUUGCGAUGACAUAAACGGUCAUGUAGUUAAGCUCGUUCUUUCUCGGGCGUCCAUCAUGGGAAACAUUUCCCUUCAUCUUGGAAAUCUUUCAAACUUGCAGAAUCUUGAUCUCAGUUGGAAUCCUUCAUUGGCAAUCCACAGCCUCCAUUUUCCAUCUUCUUUGAAAUACUUGAACUUGUCGUUUGUGCUCCUGGACAAGUGUGACAAUUGGUUGCAGACAAUAAACAUGCUUCCUUCUUUACUAGAAUUAGAAUUGUGGAAUUGUGAGCUUUCCAUCAUUGGUGAUGUUUCACAUGUCAAUUUUACAUCUCUUGAGGUUCUCGACCUUGGAUUGAACAACUUCCAUUCCACAAUCCCAAGCUGGUUAUAUAAUAUCACCAACCUUCGACAUCUUGAUCUGUAUUCUGGUGCUUUCCGAGGUUCUCUUGCAACUGAUAUCAGUAAUCUUAAGUCUCUUGCUUCCCUUAGUGCGGGUUUUAAUUCUUUGGAAGGCAACAUACCCAACACGUUGAACAGGCUUUGCAAUUUGAUUGAGCUAGACUUGGAUUACAACAAGUUCAGUGGUGAGAUUUCCGGAACUUUUGGCAACUCAUCCGGUUGCAUCAAGAACAGUUUAGAGAAUCUGUAUCUUUUAAACAAUUCCUUUUCUGGUAGUAUUCCAGAUAAUUUGGGACAAUUUAAACGCCUGAAAUUUCUUUCUCUUUCUAAAAACUCUUUCUGGGGUUCAAUUCCUGUAUCCAUUGGACAGCUUUACAACCUUGAAACACUAAAUUUCAGUAAGAAUUCAUUGCAUGGGAAAGUUUCUGAACUUCACUUGUUAAACCUCAGAAGCUUGAUUGGGUUGAGCAUGGAUGGGAAUUCUUUAGUUUUUGAUAUUGAUCCUGAAUGGAUACCUCCUUUUCAACUUUCCUCGAUUGAUUUAUCAUCUUGUGAAGAAGGGCCUUCGUUUCCACAGUGGCUCAAAACACAAAAGAGCAUUAGAUUUUUAGAAAUGUCUAAUGCAAGCAUCUCAGAUAACAUCCCUGACUGGUUUGAAAAUAUUUCUUCCAAUAUAGUAGGAUUGGUUUUAUCUUAUAAUCAGUUGUUUGGGACCUUGCCAACUUUCAGAAAACUGAACACACCUUAUCCUAACGAAUAUAGGAUCAUAUUGUUGAAAUCUAACCAGUUUGAUGGUUUUUUAACCUGUUCUCAUUUUGAUGCAACCAUAUUGGAUAUCUCCAACAACUUGCUCCACGGCCAGAUUCCCCAG